CGCAGGAACCCAUACGAGCCCCUCGGUCCGCUAGAUCCGUGCAAUUCCUUAUAUAGACUCGGCCGCAGCCAGCGGCAGGGCCGUAGCCGCCCAUUAUUCUCCAAACAGGUACCGGGCGGGCGGGGGCCGCGCUCCGGCCUCGGCCCUGUCGCCGCAGGAACUGUCCAGACAAUACCCACCAGCAGACGGUCGCCGCGGAGCGGGCGGGCGGGCGGGCGCAGCAUCGCCCCCCAGAUAAGCAGAAAUGCAACCAACUUCCACCGUCUCUCCCCACCGCAAAGGGCGACUGUGCAACCCAACACAUGUUCGGGGCUCGCUCGCUCGCUCUCCGGUUAUUAUUGUUAUUUUUCUAAACUCUCACGCCAGGCAGAUGGGUGUGUGUGUGUGUGUGUGUGUGUGCGCGCGCCCCUCCCCGCGCAGCAUCAGCACUCAUUAGUAAACCCGGCGGCCGCCGCCGCCGCCGGGCGGGCAGCGGCGACCCGCGUCCGUCGGUCCGGCCGCCCCCCUCCCCCACACUCCUUCCACCCGAGACCCCGAGCGCCGUCCAAGCUCCCUCCGCCGGUUUCACGCCCCGCGCGUCCGGCCCAGGUGUUGUCAGAGCACCAGGAUGGAAGCAGUGGAGUUCUCAUAAGAAUGUGGAGAAUCACAGCCUCUGAUUGAUCUCCAAGGUUCGAUUUGAGUUUUUAAUUCACCAAAAGUGAUUGCUGAAAAAUUAACUAUUUUUUCCCAUGAUUUUAAAAAAUUAUUUUUUUCCCAAAACAAACUUGGAUGGAAUGUUACACAUGAAAUAAUUGACUUAAGAAGAAUCUAAAGCCACUCCAAGUCUUUUGUUUCCAACUUUAUGAUCAAGCACCCCUAAGGCUGUAUAACUCAGUGGGGAUUAAUAGGGAUUGAGUCAGCCAUAAAUAAUCAAUAAAAAGAAAGCAACUUAGUACAAUGGUCUUAAAUCCAAGUUCACAGUUUGCCUGACAAUGGACAGUCCAGUGAGAUUCAUAGUGGCCAAGAUAUAAAUCUCCACUAAAUAAGCUUCCUAAAAGAAACACUAACUCAACCAUAUUCUAAAAAUUGUGAUGUUACAUAAAAAGGACUUUGAGUUUGCUGAUCUUUGUAAUAGUGGAAAAGCAUUAAUAAAUGGAAAAUCAUCCUAAAGUUUUAGGUUUUUCUUUUCAAACCAUGGAAUAAAUUUGGCUUCUGUCACUGACCAGCAAAGUGCCCAGGACUUGAAGGACCAAUACCCCAGAGAAAAAGGACAUUGAGGAAAGUUCAGCAUUUGACAUCAUUUUUCUCUUAUCUUUUCAAAGCUCAAGCUGUGCAGGUCAAAGCCUAGGAAACUAGGCAGAAAACACUGAAACACAGUGUGGAAUUUUCAACAGUCUCAUGAUCCUUGAGAAACAAAAGUUGGAUUUCAGAAUCUGUCCAGAGGGGAGGGGGUGCACAGUAAACUUCACCUGGAAUCCCUGGGGGUUAGUGUACUAUUAAUAUUAAGCCUGUGGGUAAACCAAGCCUUAUAAAGAGCACCAGAGCACCUCACAUCAGCUCAAUCUUGAUUGGAUUGAACUCAUCUGAUCCCAUUCUGGCUCACAGAAUAGAGGAAAGCCUCUUUGAAGAAAAACAAUAGCAUCCAAGGCCA
RNAcentral lists this long non-coding RNA (1630 nucleotides) under Capra hircus (goat). RNAcentral describes it as "lncRNA (ENSCHIG00000001920.1)". The record is from RNAcentral. Lineage: Eukaryota; Metazoa; Chordata; Mammalia; Artiodactyla; Bovidae.